GACGAACGCUGGCGGCGUGCCUAAUACAUGCAAGUCGAGCGAACAGAUGAGGCGUUUGCUCCUCUGACGUUAGCGGCGGACGGGAGAGUCACACGUGUAUACCCUACCUAUCAGACUGGGAUAAUUACGAGAAACCGGAGCUAAUACCGGAUAAUAUAUUGAACCGCGUUGUGCAAUAGUGAAAGACGGUUUUUCGGUCACUUAUAGCUGGAUCCGCGCAGCAUUAGAUAGUUGGUAAGGUAACUGAUUAUCAAGGCAACGAGGCGCAGGGCACCUGAGAGAGAGGUCGCCCACAUGGGGAGAGAGACAGGGACCAGACUCCUGCGGGAAGCAGCAGUAGGGAAUCUUACGCAAUGGAGGAGAGCCUUACGGAGCAACGCCGCGUGAGUGAUGAAGGUGUACGGAUCGGAAAGCUCUGUUAUUAGGGGAGAACAAAUGUGUAAUUAACUGUGCACGUAUUGACGGUACCUGGUCAAAAAGCCCCGGCUAACUACGUG
This 497-nucleotide ribosomal RNA is filed under the name uncultured bacterium. Its description in RNAcentral is "partial 16S ribosomal RNA". It matches the Rfam family "Bacterial small subunit ribosomal RNA", at positions 28 to 507 of the family's 1533-position model. The record is from RNAcentral.